RNAcentral lists this transfer RNA (82 nucleotides) under Tetraselmis marina. RNAcentral's name for it is "tRNA-Tyr". It matches the Rfam family "tRNA". Rfam says of the family: Transfer RNA (tRNA) molecules are approximately 80 nucleotides in length. Their secondary structure includes four short double-helical elements and three loops (D, anti-codon, and T loops). Further hydrogen bonds mediate the characteristic L-shaped molecular structure. tRNAs have two regions of fundamental functional importance: the anti-codon, which is responsible for specific mRNA codon recognition, and the 3' end, to which the tRNAs corresponding amino acid is attached (by aminoacyl-tRNA synthetases). tRNAs cope with the degeneracy of the genetic code in two manners: having more than one tRNA (with a specific anti-codon) for a particular amino acid; and 'wobble' base-pairing, i.e. permitting non-standard base-pairing at the 3rd anti-codon position. Lineage: Eukaryota; Viridiplantae; Chlorophyta; Chlorodendrophyceae; Chlorodendrales; Chlorodendraceae. The record is from RNAcentral.
GGGUCGAUGCCCGAGUGGUUAAUGGGGGCGGAUUGUAAAUCCGCUGGUUACACCUACACUGGUUCGAAUCCAGUUCGGCCCA